UACGUAGGGGGCUAGCGUUGUCCGGAAUCAUUGGGCGUAAAGCGCGCGUAGGCGGCCAGAUAAGUCCGGUGUGAAAGUCACAGGCUCAACCUGUGAAUGCCGCUGGAAACUGUCUGGCUUGAGUCCGGAAGAGGAAAGUGGAAUUCCUGGUGUAGCGGUGAAAUGCGCAGAUAUCAGGAAGAACACCCGUGGCGAAGGCGGCUUUCUGGGACGGUACUGACGCUGAGACGCGAAAGCGUGGGGAGCGAACAGG
This 253-nucleotide ribosomal RNA is filed under the name uncultured bacterium. RNAcentral's name for it is "partial 16S ribosomal RNA". It matches the Rfam family "Bacterial small subunit ribosomal RNA", at positions 524 to 776 of the family's 1533-position model. The record is from RNAcentral.